CAGAUUAUAUUCUAAGAGAAAUUAUUAUUUACAAUAAUAAGUUAGUUAUGCAAUUUAACUUAAUCUGA
Molecule: transfer RNA, 68 nt
Filed under: Amblythyreus gestroi
Lineage: Eukaryota; Metazoa; Arthropoda; Insecta; Hemiptera; Phymatidae
Description: tRNA-Val
Source: RNAcentral